AGAUUGAACGCUGGCGGCAUGCCUUACACAUGCAAGUCGAACGGCAGCACGGGAGCAAUCCUGGUGGCGAGUGGCGAACGGGUGAGUAAUACAUCGGAACGUGCCCAAUCGUGGGGGAUAACGCAGCGAAAGCUGUGCUAAUACCGCAUAAGAUCUACGGAUGAAAGCAGGGGAUCGCAAGACCUUGCGCGAAUGGAGCGGCCGAUGGCAGAUUAGGUAGUUGGUGAGGUAAAGGCGUCACCAAGCCUUCGAUCUGUAGCUGGUCUGAGAGGACGACCAGCCACACUGGGACUGAGACACGGCCCAGACUCCGUACGGAGGCAGCAGGUGGGUAAUUUGGACAAGUGGCGAAAGCCUGAUCCAGCCAUGCCGCGUGCAGGAUGAAGUCCGUUCGGUUGUAAACGUGUACUUUUGGUAACGUAACGUAAACGUCUACUUUCUAAGUAAAGAGG
This 452-nucleotide ribosomal RNA is filed under the name uncultured soil bacterium. Its description in RNAcentral is "bacterial SSU rRNA". It matches the Rfam family "Bacterial small subunit ribosomal RNA", at positions 26 to 490 of the family's 1533-position model. The record is from RNAcentral.